Chrysemys picta bellii (western painted turtle) is the source of this 5801-nucleotide non-coding RNA. NCBI's taxonomy places the organism in Eukaryota, Metazoa, Chordata, Testudines, Emydidae. The record is from RefSeq and is a predicted model, not a curated record.
GCAUCAGCCUUUUCCAUGACCUUAGCCAUAAGUGAUGACGAGGCAGGGUCACAUCCCAUUGCCCUCGCAGUGAAUCUGAGGCUGUCACAGAAGGUGCCUGCUACAGAGGCUGCUGCUACGCAAGCUCUCUCAGAAUGGCUCCCACACAGAAAUAUUUUCUGAUUUUUGAAAGGGAAUCAGUCCAUGCCAAGAUGGCUCAAGUAGAAGAGGCGGAGGCUGUGGAUACUCAGAGGGUGGCAGAGGAAGCUUCAGAAUUCCUCCUUAAGCAAUCUGUCUUCCUCUCUCUCUGGUCCUUGGGGAAGAAAUCACCCUUAACUGGGAUUAUCCUGUCUUUACAAGGGAUGAAAGGGCUGCAUCCACAUUUGGUAGAGUAACUAGGUCUGGAUUGGAUCUAUGAACGGGAUACUGCAUCUUGGCCAGCCUCUGAGCUCUUGCUGGGUUUUGCAUUCAGCCCUAAUUACAUCUACCAGUGUUGCAUGGAGAGGAGAUAGGUUUGAGAUGUUGAACUGAGAGGAAGUAUUUGAGAGGUUUCACUCCCUUUCUGUCUAGAUCUAUUCUGUGUAAGUUCUUAUCUUUUGAUGCCUCCUCCUUUUGAGGUUCUUCCAGUGGGGGUUCAGUGCCUGACACUACUUGCCAGGAUAGAAACAAAACUCCUCUUGAAACAACUUGCUUUGAGGUUCCUCCUCUGGGGGCUUUAGCUCAGAUUCAGAAAAUUGUCCUUCCCAGGAAUGAGAAGCUACACGGUCCUGUCUUGAGCUCUUUGUCUUCCUGCUCUUUUUGCAGCCUUUUGUGGCAGGGGCUUUCUCUCCCCCUGAAAAUGGAAGAGGACAUGAGAUAGUCCCUCCAUCUCUUGCUCCUGUUUGCUAGGCAACAAAGUCUUAGAAAUUGAGUCCAUCGGAAAGGGUUUGGAACCUCAAACAGUAAGCUAUAAGCACACUUAAAAUUGCCACGUAGCAAGGAACCAGUGGUGUGGGAUAAGUAGAGCCAUGGAGUAGAGUAUUAACUCUAAGUGAAUCUGAUAUUUUUAUGCUCUGCUAGCCUCAGCUCCUGGUUGAAACAUACUCAGCAGUUGGCAAAUCUCACUGGCUUAAUUAGAUCAUAGGUAUCUGGUCACCCCAGGGGCAGCUGAUCAAAUAAGAAGUGGGAGUUAAACUACCAUUGCCAUUAAAUGUCCAAGGAUUUCAUGAUGUUUAAACCCCCAUCACCUGCACCAGAACGCUGGUGCGGAGUGCACAGAGGCACCAAUGGCUUGUUUUUGUUGCCCUUAAGCCAAGUUUGCAUUAUAAGCAAUUGACACUGGCAGCUAGAUCUAAAUGUAAGACUUUCUCUUAGUAUCACUGUAGAGAAGCUACAGGCAGAUAAACCAAGGGACGAACAGUGGUGUUAUGUAUGUUUAAUCCUGUUUGACAGAGAACUCAACCAAUGUGUUCUAACUUGUCAAACUUUUCCAGUAACCAACCUAGCAUCAAUAUUUCCAAGACCUUUUUCCAUGACAGAGGAGAGCAAGUUUAAAAAACUAUUUAAGUAACAUCAGAUCCUUAAGAAAGCAAAUUUGUUUUACAUAGGUGUAAAACUCACAUACAGCUUUCACUAAGGGACUUUUUAAAUUGGUGGGAUAUACUAUAUCCCAUGUGACACCCUGCAGCCCAUGUUCACCACUUUUGUAUGGGCAUAUUUUGUUUGAAGUAUCAUUUGAAAACUCAAUCUACAGCCCAACAUUGUCUUGGUAAUCUAUCAACAUUGUACAUGGAGCUGAGAUUUUACUAGGUGCUUGUUACUGAAAUAUGCUGUCAUUCUGGUAAUGCCCUCAGACCAUUUUUUCAAAGACAAAAAGGCACACUAGCUAGGUGCUAAAAGCCCAUUACCUGCUUAAUCGGAGAUUCACCAGCAGGGGAGUUAUAAACAAAUGAUUUACAAUUCUCCAGAACAGCUGACCCCAUGACCCAGCAAAGACUUUUCCAGUACAGAGGGUUAGAGUAUAAGAAAGGUGAGGUGGCCAGAGGCUAUGACAUCACUAAAUAUCUGAAGAACACUGAACUAAGGGGAGUGGUUCCAGGCUGGAAAAAGCAACAGCUUGUGACAUAUAUUGCAUCUAAUGGUGAGACAACUGAUGUUUUUAGAGUUAGCCUAGGUAAAAUCUAGAAAUUAGAGUGUGGUUUUCUCUCUCUCUUUUGUAAUUAAAUCUGACUUUUGCCUUAGCACCUGUAAAUCACUUAAAAUCUAUCUUUCUCUAGUUAAAUGGGGUUUACUGUUUUAUCUAAACCAGUGUGUUUGGGAAACCCGCCCUUGAGACAAGGGUGGUGUAUAUUCAUUAUCCACUGUUGGAAUGACAAACUAAUUAUGAGUCAGUACAUUCCAGUGGGCCACUGAACAGGGCACUUUUUUUGAGGGGAGGGUGGGAAGAGAGACAAGGCUGGGAUUGCAGGAUAUGCUGGGGUCACCUUCUAUCUGUUCAUCCAUGGCUGGGUAUAGCACUUGUGUUCAACUAGGAAUGACUUUACAUGCUGGGGGUAAACAGAGCCUGGAAAGGUUGUGAUGCUGACAGUAAGGCAGUGUAAAAGACGAUCCAGGCUGGAGAGCUAAGGGGACAUAACAGACCAGUAAUUCAGGUUGCAGCCUGAGGAAUGUCACAACUGAUUCAGAAUCUUUUUCUUUCCCCUAUAGGCUCCUCACCAGAUCCUUCCAGCUCUUUACUUCCAUAUAGCAUUCUGCCUAAGAGAGGGAGUUGGCCACAAGGGGUAUUGUUUUUCAAGACAAAUAAGGUCUUGUUCGUAAUGUUACAGGAUUGUAUUUGUUGAUUAUUUAAAUCAAAAUAAUCAAGAGACACCUAUGCAAGGAGCUCAGUACCCUAGCAUAGCAUUAGCAAUACAAUCAAAAUAAUUCAAUAGGAACUCAGGCAGCCUCCUUUGACACUUCAUUUUCUAGGAAUCAUACCUUCACCCUUCUCCAAAAAUACCCAAAUAGAUAUGUUUUGCAGCAUACCUGGAUGGUCACCAAAUCUGGACAGUUCAGAGCCCUCAAGCCCACACACCGAAUGCCCUGCCAGCCACUCUCUCUGCUUUAUUACAAGAGCAUUCAAGGUCAGGCAUUCCUGGAAACGGCAGCUGUGGCAGUAUGGUACAGGGAGAGAGGAGCCCUCAGGUAAGCCAGUCCCAGGUUAUUUAGGGCUUUGUAGGUCAUAACCAACUCCUUCAACUCCACCAAGACCAACACACGCACCUGUAGACCCACUGCAACCUAUCAGUGUUCCAGUCAGGAUUAAGGAAAUAAGGAAAUCAAAAUCAGACACAUCAGCACAAAAAUGUAGUGUUUAUUUUCAGAUGUAUCUCAUAACACUCUAAACAUACUGAUAGCUUCACGUGAAAUCGCACUAUAGUGCUCGGCUAUUAAGUCUGAACAGAAGUGGGGUGAGGCUAGUUUUGUAAUUAUAGUCAGGUUUAGAGAUUAGAUAUUGCUCAUUGUACAAGAUGGGUCAGUUGAGUACUGAGUGUUUAUUCUGAGAUAUUGCUUCACAUAGGAAGACCAAGAAAGCAACAGCAGUCAGACAGGGGUUACUGAAGCUGUAAUAUGUCCUUCUAGAAACACUGUAAUUUGAUAUACUGAAAAUUAAGUGUGUUACAUCUAAAAGAUUCCCAAUGUUUAUUAUAUUUAUUUUCUUUGUUGUUUCUGAAGAGAGCAGCCCUCCCUUGCCACCUCUGGCCUUGCACAUAACCACAAACAUUUUAUUAUAAAAACUGAUCCAGAAGUACAGUUAAAUAUAGGUUUCAUUUACAUGUUCAUAUUCAUUCUUAAAAUUAAGUGCAUUGAUUGCCCCACCCCCAUCUCUGCUUUCUUCCUGUGAGUGGGAGGGUUUUAAACACAGAUGCUAGAUAAAGAAAACAGCUGGAAAAUAGAAAAAAAUAGUUUUUGGAACAAAACUGGAAAAAGGCAAGAUAUUAAAAAGUUAGGCAAGAUAUUAGCAAUAAGGCAACACAACAUAAAAUUAAAUUAGAAAACACUGCACUGUAGUGAUGAUCUAGUUUUAAUGGAGAUGCAGUGAGACUGACGUAGGUCAAUGCUGUUAGUCCCUUGACAUCAACAUGAUUACCACAUAAAAUGCCGCAUUUUCUAAUGCUAUUCAUGAACUUGGCACAUAUCCUUGGUGCCUUAAAAAAACAAAAGCCAGAAGUGUAACCAUUAAAAACCAGUCAUGGGACUGUGAGGUUUUAAAAAAAUUGAAUCAUGUCAUAACAGUUCCAAGUGCCUGCUUACCCUAGAAGCUUAAAUUGCAAAUCAAAUAUUAACAGCCCUAAGGCAGUUUUCUCACCACAAAGCGGGAGAGAAGAGUACAUUUUAUUUCUCUCUCAGCCAGAUAUAGUUUCAUACAUAGCCCCGUGUUUCUGUGGUACUGACCAUGAUUGUUUAGUUCCAAUGUUUCAACUGUCUCAGUCACUCAAGACUGAACUAGCUACAGAACUGAGGAAUAAGGAUUUAAUUUUCAGCUUCCAUUCAAAUAAAUCCAAGCUUUUUCAGGAGGCCAACAGCCCUAUUAAAAAAUAGCAAAGGUUUAAUCAAAGUCAGACAGUAACACCCCACAGAAUGAGUUUGCUACAUAACAGAUUAAAAAUGAGGAAGUUUGCAAAUGCUUUUUUUAAUAUUAAAAAUAGCCCCCACUGCUGCUGCUGCAGAUUAGCUAUGUUAGAUGCUCAUGAUCUGUUUCCUUUGGAGACGACAGAUGUGCCGAAGCACUAACCGAGAUUCUGCAUAAACAGAGUAACACUGGUCAGUAGAAGUGCUCCAAAAUGUUAAUAGAAACCCAGUUUGUUGAACUCCAGGAGUUAGUUCAUGUGCAUCUUAAAAAAAAAACCCCCACAACUGCAAAGAGUAUUAGUUACAAUGGUAUCAAAGAAGAGGAAAUUAAAAUAAGAUCUGUGAGAUUCACGGGAAACAGAGAUUACUGAACUUGUUUUACAAGGUGUACAGUGCUAUUUUUUAAAUUAAAUUUGUGUUGGAUUUUUACUUGUGGGAAAGUACAUUUAUGAUACUUCUCUAAAUUGAAGAAUUAGAGUCAACCGGUACAUUUAUACAGAGAGGCAUAUGAAUAUGGCAAGACAGGCUCUCAUUCCUGACUGUUCCUCAGAUCAAAGUAAUCCAGGGUUGGGAGGACAAUAAGUAUAUGGAGAAGGAAAUUAAAAAGCCUGAAGAUAAGAGCAUCAGAAAAGGAUAGUCUGCUUAUACAAUAACUUGGAUCAGAUUGACGGUCAGCAUCUGGAAAGGGUAAGAGACUCUCUUACACAAUAAAAGAAGCCACCACAAAUCAUAUCUCCCAUUUAAAAUAAAGUAGACAAUAACGAGCUCUUUUCAGACAUCUAUGUAUAUGGAAUUUUAACAUAUGAAAUACAAGUUGGUUAAAAUACUGCUAAGAAUAGCACAUACAGAAACAGUACGUCACUUAUCACUCAUUACAAGUUUUUACAGGAAAAAAAAUGGUGAAACACCUAGGAGAUCUUGCUGUAUUCAAACUAUAUAUACACAUCUAACAGUCCAAACGCUACUUGUCUUGGACUCAAGGUAAGCACCUUCAUAACAGUGUCCAUUACAGGAAAACAGCCAAAAAUACAUUCAGAACCCCUACAACUAUUUUCAUAAUUAACAUUUUAAAGCAUUUUGUGGUAGACGGGUGUAUCUAAGAUUGGUUUUCUUUAAGGAUAUGCAAUCUGCAUUAGUAACAGUAAAGAGCUCUUUGCAUUUUUGUUCAUACACAUAAUGUAUCAACUUAUUUUACAAGUUAUUUAUUUAAACACUUUCACAAUUUUACAAAA